Molecule: ribosomal RNA, 1528 nt
Filed under: human gut metagenome
Description: bacterial LSU rRNA
Rfam family: Bacterial large subunit ribosomal RNA
Source: RNAcentral
UAAAUACUCCCGAGAGACCGAUAGCGAACCAGUACCGUGAGGGAAAGGUGAAAAGAACCCCGAGCAGGGGAGUGAAAUAGACCCUGAACCCGUCUGCCUACAAGCGGUCGGAGCGUCGUAAUGACGUGACGGCGUGCCUUUUGCAUAAUGAACCUACGAGUUACCUUCCCCGGCAAGGUUAAGUUCUUGAGGAACGGAGCCGAAGCGAAAGCGAGUCUGAACAGGGCGCCAAGUCGGGGGGGGUAGACGCGAAACCGAGUGAUCUACCCUUGGCCAGGUUGAAGGUUGGGUAACACCAACUGGAGGACCGGAUGGGUAAGCGUUGAAAAGCUUUCCAAUGAGCUGAGGGUAGGGGUGAAAGGCUAAUCAAACUCGGAGAUAGCUCGUACUCCCCGAAAUGCAUUUAGGUGCAGCCUCUUUAUAGUAUAUCGUGAGGUAGAGCGACUGAUUGGAUGCGAGGGCUUCACCGCCUAUCAAGUCCAGAUAAACUCCGAAUGCGCGAUAUAUAUUUACAGGGAGUGAGGGCGCGGGUGCUAAGGUCCGUGUCCGAGAGGAGAAGAAUCCAGACCACCGGCUAAGGCCCCCAAAUGAUCGUUGAGUUGAACUAACGAGGUCGGAUCGCAGAGACAGCUAGGAUGUUGGCUUGGAAGCAGCCAUUCAUUUAAAGAGUGCGUAACAGCUCACUAGUCGAGCGAUCUGGCGUGGAUAAUAAUCGGGCAUAAACGAUCUGCCGAAGCCGUGGAUGUCGCAAGACAUGGUAGGGGAGCAUUCCAUGCCGCGUCGAAGAUGAGGGAUGACCCUUGUUGGAGCGCAUGGAAAAGCAAAUGUAGGUAUGAGUAACGAUAAGGGGGGCGAGAAACCCCCCCGCCGAAAGACCAAGGUUUCCUGAUCAACGCUAAUCGGAUCAGGGUGAGUCGGGACCUAAGGCAAAGCCGAACGGCGCCGCCGAUGGAAGAAUGGGUUAAUAUUCCCAUACUGCCUCAUGGAGUGACGUGGAGACGGAGAAGUGACAGUCCUGCCGGCUGACGGAAUAGCCGGUUGAAGGGUGUAGAUAUUGAUUCCCGUAGGCAAAUCCGCGGGGAGAGUCGAACCUGAGAGUAUACGGAGCGCUUGCGCAACGUAAUAUGGACGUAACCAUGCUCCCGAGAAAAUCCGCUAAACUUAUCCAUGCGGCACCCGUACCGUAAACGGACACACGUGGUCGGGUUGAGAAUACUGAGGCGCUCGAGUGAUUCACGGUUAAGGAACUAGGCAAAUUGACCCUGUAACUUCGGGAUAAAGGGUCCUCGUCGUAAGGCGAGGCGCAGAGAAUAGGUCCAGGCAACUGUUUAACAAAAACACAUGGCUGUGCUAAAUGGAAACAUGAUGUAUACAGCCUGACACCUGCCCGGUGCCGGAAGGUUAAGAGGAGAUGUCAUCCGCGAGGAGAAGCGUUGAAUUGAAGCCCCGGUAAACGGCGGCCGUAACUAUAACGGUCCUAAGGUAGCGAAAUUCCUUGUCGGGUAAGUUCCGACCUGCACGAAUGGUG